This 216-nucleotide ribosomal RNA is filed under the name Glomeromycotina sp. RNAcentral describes it as "partial small subunit ribosomal RNA". The stretch from base 40 to 216 matches the Rfam family "Eukaryotic small subunit ribosomal RNA", at positions 686 to 864 of the family's 1831-position model. The record is from RNAcentral. Lineage: Eukaryota; Fungi; Glomeromycota.
GGGUCAGUAGGUUGGUCGUGCCACCGGUACGUACUGGUCUCACUGAUUCCUCCUUCCUGAAGAACCGUAAUGCCAUUAAUUUGGUGUUGCGGGGGAACAGGACUGUUACUUUGAAAAAAUUAGAGUGUUUAAAGCAAGCUAACGCUUGAAUACAUUAGCAUGGAAUAAUGAAAUAGGACGAUCGAUCCUAUUUUGUUGGCUUCUAGGAUUGACGUA